GGGCUCUUAAUGAAAAAUCCCCUCGAAGGGGUAUCUUUCUUUCUGGGCCGUCGAUCUCGAUCUGGGCGGUCCUCAGGUCACCAGGGAGGCCUCGGCGGCGGGCCGGCCGUCUGCUCCCCCUCCGGCGCGGCGGUCGCCAUGGACAGGGAGGUCGAGCUCGCCGGCGUCUGCUCCCUUCUCGUUUCCGGGCACGGUUUCAAGAAAUAAAAACACCGGGAGUUGGAGAAUCACUUCGCGAACUCACCUAAACGGUCUAAUCGAGCCGAGGGCGUGCAGAGAGGACGUGGUGCUCGCGGUGGCGGUGUGGCUUUCGGCAAGAUGCAAAGCUUCGCGCUGCGGCGGCUAGGGUUCCUCGGACGCGCGUCUAACGGAAAAAGGAAUCCGCUGCGAUGCUUGGAAGCUUUAUAGGGCGCUGGGCAACCGUUUUGGCAAGCAAAUCCCGGAGUUCUCGGGUUUGGUUCGGUGGAGAACUUCUCGGCCGAGUCCUACUCGCCCGCGGCGAGAGGAGGGGGACGAGCGCCGCCAAGUGGGGCCCGCAUGUCAGCCUGCCAGGGAGGAGGUGUACGGCCGAGCGCAGAGGGAAAGGACGCUGCGGCCUAAGCUGGGCUUCGGGGAUUCCUGGGCCGCGCGCAGGGGCUGGCUACGGCUGGGGGUUUUGUCAUUUAUUUUUUUUAUUUUUUUUAAACUCUUUCCAAUAUAUUUUUCCAAAGCCUUUUCAAAGAGAGUUUUGAAUGCAAAUAAAAUCAAACAGAAGGCAACAACCCAAAAUUAAAUAUGCACGAGCGUGAAAUGCACAACCAUGUUUUCUAAACUUAUAUUAAAUUUUAAUUUUGGCCAAAACUAUUUUAUUCACUAGAUUCC
RNAcentral lists this long non-coding RNA (861 nucleotides) under Sorghum bicolor (sorghum). Its description in RNAcentral is "long non-coding RNA (SBIC_LNC017996)". The record is from RNAcentral. Lineage: Eukaryota; Viridiplantae; Streptophyta; Magnoliopsida; Poales; Poaceae.